UGGUCAGAGUGGUGGUUUGUCUUCUUACAUAAACCCUCUCCACAUUUCUCUCUUCUUUUUCUGUCCUUUUUUUGGGCUUAAUGAAACAGAGAUCCUGAUUGUCAGCUAAGCAUCUACCUAGUUAAAUUUAGUGACAUGGAUCAGUAGGCUGACCACAGGGAGAUCACUAAUUGCAGAGCUGAAAAUUAUCUUUAAGGACAUUUAAUCCACCCUAUACCUUUAUGAGAAUCUUAUCUGUGAAAGCUCCCACAAGUGGUCAUCCAGCCUUGGCUUGAAGACCUCUAGAGGGGAAAGGAAACCCACUACUUCGCAAAGGCAGUUCACUUCACCUUGAGAUAGUUCCAAUUGUUUCAAAACAAACCCAAUCCUUUGUUCCACAUGACAGCCUUUCAAAUACUUGAAAACAGCCACCAUUUCUUCCCUAAGUUGUCUCUUCCAUAAGAAAAUCCAAAAGGUUCUCAAAUUACAGCAUGCAGAAUUUUGGUAUGACGUAAGGAAUAACCAGUGUUGUCUACUGAAGAAGAGUCAAGAAGCCCUGGAGUCGUCAUGCAUAUAUUAUCUAUGUAGCCAUAGACCAAUCACUUAUAUUAUCUAACAUAUAUUAGCUAUGUGACCAUACAUCAAUCACUUAGACUAUAAUGAUAGUGAUCAUUAUAUUAUAAAGAGAGAGUUCAACUCUUGAAUGAGUAACUAUCUAGAGAUGUAGAAUUUCUUCCUAAAAUCUUUCUGGGUAUUUAGG
Non-coding RNA from Phascolarctos cinereus (koala), 739 nucleotides. The record is from RefSeq and is a predicted model, not a curated record. Lineage: Eukaryota; Metazoa; Chordata; Mammalia; Diprotodontia; Phascolarctidae.